GAGUCGGGUCGCAGAGAGGAGGUCCAGUGUUUACUGUCCAGAAGCAGGACUUUCUGUUUGAAACGGACCGCCUGAGCUGCUCUGCAGUGGCCGGGACUCUCCGGCAUGAAGGGCCUGAGGCACCGUCGCACUUUGUCGGCAAGUUCAGAGUGUGGUUUCUGUGCUUAUCAGUAAAUGUGUGGGACAGCUAACCCGUGAAUGUACUCCGGCUAAAGAUGCUCAUUUAAGGUUGCCACAAUGCAGCACAGCUGAACCAGGACUGGAACCCUACACCAUCAUUUCAUUUUUGCAGUGCUCCAUUUAAAAAGCACCACUAAAUUCAAGGAGCUGCUCUCAGAUUCAGACCUCAGCACCACCCAGUGACAACAGACAAAUCAUCCUAUAUGUCCACCAAUACUGAAUACACUUAAAUUUGUAGGAGCUCUAAAUUUAGCUGAUGAAGAAAGUACAAAGGCUAAGCUACCAUAUAUGUGCUGUCAGUAAAAUUGUAGAUGUUUUACUGAAAAAAGGUGAAGACAGAAAGGCAAAGGGACAAUAAAUCCAAGAAAUUGGUAUCUUUACAUACACUACAUUACCAAAAGUAUUCACUCAACCAUCCAAAUCAUUGAAUUCAGGUGUUCCAAUCACUUCCAUGACCACAGGCGUAUAAAUCCAAGCUCUUAUGCUUGCAGACUGCUUCUACAAAUAUUUGUGAAAGAAUGGGUCGCUCUCAGGAGCUCACUGAUUUCCAGCGUGGUACCGUGAUAGGAUGCCACCAGUCCAAGAAGUCCACUCGUGAA
Archocentrus centrarchus (flier cichlid) is the source of this 779-nucleotide long non-coding RNA. RefSeq lists it as uncharacterized. NCBI's taxonomy places the organism in Eukaryota, Metazoa, Chordata, Actinopteri, Cichliformes, Cichlidae. The transcript is spliced from 3 exons. The record is from RefSeq and is a predicted model, not a curated record.